RNAcentral lists this long non-coding RNA (259 nucleotides) under Elaeis guineensis (African oil palm). Its description in RNAcentral is "long non-coding RNA (EGUI_LNC064488)". The record is from RNAcentral. Lineage: Eukaryota; Viridiplantae; Streptophyta; Magnoliopsida; Arecales; Arecaceae.
AUUCAUCAACAUCUCAUGUCCAUCAGAAAGAUAGAAAAAAAAUCUUUAAUAUAAUAUUUAUUAGACCAAGAUCUAAGCUAGUCGAUUUGUGAACAUUUCACAGAAGUUCAAUACCCUAAACCCUAAGGUAAGAGAGCAUCGAAUUAUCCAGAUUCAUAUCUCAUAUGGAGUUUUGAUAAUCGAUUUAUUCAGAAUGUUCUUAAGCACAUAUCAAGUAGUCUCUAAAACAUAACCUUAGGCAGACUAGCAAACCCAUAAU